GUCUAUGGCCAUACCACCCUGAACGCGCCUGAUCUCAUCUGAUCUCGGAAGCUAAGCAGGGUCCGGCCUGGUUAGUACUUGGAUGGGAGAAAAUACUUGCAAAUCAUGUAACUGAUA
Molecule: ribosomal RNA, 117 nt
Organism: Mustela putorius furo (domestic ferret)
Lineage: Eukaryota; Metazoa; Chordata; Mammalia; Carnivora; Mustelidae
Source: Ensembl